This is a small nuclear RNA of Suncus etruscus (white-toothed pygmy shrew), 162 nucleotides long. RefSeq annotates it as U1 spliceosomal RNA. NCBI's taxonomy places the organism in Eukaryota, Metazoa, Chordata, Mammalia, Eulipotyphla, Soricidae. The record is from RefSeq and is a predicted model, not a curated record. The transcript has a single exon.
AUACUUACCUGGAAAGGACAAUACCAUGAUCACAAAGAUGGUUUCCCUAUUGCGAGGCUUAUCCAUUGCACUUCAGAUGUGCUGAACCAUGCCAUUUCCCCAAAUGUGGGAAACUCGACUGCAUAAUUUGUGAUAGUGGGGGACUGCAUUUGCUAUUUCCCC